RNAcentral lists this ribosomal RNA (484 nucleotides) under uncultured bacterium. RNAcentral describes it as "partial 16S ribosomal RNA". It matches the Rfam family "Bacterial small subunit ribosomal RNA", at positions 30 to 507 of the family's 1533-position model. The record is from RNAcentral.
AUUGAACGCUGGCGGCAGGCCUAACACAUGCAAGUCGAGCGGAUGAAGGGAGCUUGCUCCUGGAUUCAGCGGCGGACGGGUGAGUAAUGCCUAGGAAUCUGCCUGGUAGUGGGGGAUAACGUCCGGAAACGGGCGCUAAUACCGCAUACGUCCUGAGGGUGAAAGUGGGGGAUCUUCGGACCUCACGCUAUCAGAUGAGCCUAGGUCGGAUUAGCUAGUUGGUGGGGUAAAGGCCUACCAAGGCGACGAUCCGUAACUGGUCUGAGAGGAUGAUCAGUCACACUGGAACUGAGACACGGUCCAGACUCCUACGGGAGGCAGCAGUGGGGAAUAUUGGACAAUGGGCGAAAGCCUGAUCCAGCCAUGCCGCGUGUGUGAAGAAGGUCUUCGGAUUGUAAAGCACUUUAAGUUGGGAGGAAGGGCAGUAAGUUAAUACCUUGCUGUUUUGACGUUACCAACAGAAUAAGCACCGGCUAAUUUCGUG